RNAcentral lists this ribosomal RNA (1690 nucleotides) under Campylobacter coli. RNAcentral describes it as "partial 23S ribosomal RNA". It matches the Rfam family "Bacterial large subunit ribosomal RNA", at positions 1244 to 2925 of the family's 2925-position model. Lineage: Bacteria; Pseudomonadati; Campylobacterota; Epsilonproteobacteria; Campylobacterales; Campylobacteraceae. The record is from RNAcentral. RNAcentral also lists the same sequence under 2 other names.
UUUGCGUCGAAGGUAUACCGGUAAGGAGUGCUGGAGCGAAUAGAAGUGAGCAUGCAGGCAUGAGUAGCGAUAAUUAAUGUGAGAAUCAUUAACGCCGUAAACCCAAGGUUUCCUACGCGAUGCUCGUCAUCGUAGGGUUAGUCGGGUCCUAAGUCGAGUCCGAAAGGGGUAGACGAUGGCAAAUUGGUUAAUAUUCCAAUACCAACAUUAGUGUGCGAUGGAAGGACGCUUAGGGCUAAGGGGGCUAGCGGAUGGAAGUGCUAGUCUAAGGUCGUAGGAGGUUAUACAGGCAAAUCCGUAUAACAAUACUCCGAGAACUGAAAGGCUUUUUGAAGUCUUCGGAUGGAUAGAAGAACCCCUGAUGCCGUCGAGCCAAGAAAAGUUUCUAAGUUUAGCUAAUGUUGCCCGUACCGUAAACCGACACAGGUGGGUGGGAUGAGUAUUCUAAGGCGCGUGGAAGAACUCUCUUUAAGGAACUCUGCAAAAUAGCACCGUAUCUUCGGUAUAAGGUGUGGUUAGCUUUGUAUUAGGAUUUACUCCGAAAGCAAGGAAACUUACAACAAAGAGUCCCUCCCGACUGUUUACCAAAAACACAGCACUCUGCUAACUCGUAAGAGGAUGUAUAGGGUGUGACGCCUGCCCGGUGCUCGAAGGUUAAUUGAUGGGGUUAGCAUUAGCGAAGCUCUUGAUCGAAGCCCGAGUAAACGGCGGCCGUAACUAUAACGGUCCUAAGGUAGCGAAAUUCCUUGUCGGUUAAAUACCGACCUGCAUGAAUGGCGUAACGAGAUGGGAGCUGUCUCAAAGAGGGAUCCAGUGAAAUUGUAGUGGAGGUGAAAAUUCCUCCUACCCGCGGCAAGACGGAAAGACCCCGUGGACCUUUACUACAGCUUGACACUGCUACUUGGAUAAGAAUGUGCAGGAUAGGUGGGAGGCUUUGAGUAUAUGACGCCAGUUGUAUAUGAGCCAUUGUUGAGAUACCACUCUUUCUUAUUUGGGUAGCUAACCAGCUUGAGUUAUCCUCAAGUGGGACAAUGUCUGGUGGGUAGUUUGACUGGGGCGGUCGCCUCCCAAAUAAUAACGGAGGCUUACAAAGGUUGGCUCAGAACGGUUGGAAAUCGUUCGUAGAGUAUAAAGGUAUAAGCCAGCUUAACUGCAAGACAUACAAGUCAAGCAGAGACGAAAGUCGGUCUUAGUGAUCCGGUGGUUCUGUGUGGAAGGGCCAUCGCUCAAAGGAUAAAAGGUACCCCGGGGAUAACAGGCUGAUCUCCCCCAAGAGCUCACAUCGACGGGGAGGUUUGGCACCUCGAUGUCGGCUCAUCGCAUCCUGGGGCUGGAGCAGGUCCCAAGGGUAUGGCUGUUCGCCAUUUAAAGCGGUACGCGAGCUGGGUUCAGAACGUCGUGAGACAGUUCGGUCCCUAUCUGCCGUGGGCGUAAGAAGAUUGAAGAGAUUUGACCCUAGUACGAGAGGACCGGGUUGAACAAACCACUGGUGUAGCUGUUGUUCUGCCAAGAGCAUCGCAGCGUAGCUAAGUUUGGAAAGGAUAAACGCUGAAAGCAUCUAAGCGUGAAGCCAACUCUAAGAUGAAUCUUCUCUAAGCUCUCUAGAAGACUACUAGUUUGAUAGGCUGGGUGUGUAAUGGAUGAAAGUCCUUUAGCUGACCAGUACUAAUAGAGCGUUUGGCUUAUCUUU